Molecule: long non-coding RNA, 493 nt
Organism: Octopus sinensis (East Asian common octopus)
Lineage: Eukaryota; Metazoa; Mollusca; Cephalopoda; Octopoda; Octopodidae
Exons: 2
Source: RefSeq, a predicted model, not a curated record
GAGAGGAAUUUUUGUCUCCCGCGCCGUACGCUUUGGCGCUUAAAAUUCUUUUUUUCUGGUUUUAUGUUCUAAACAUCUAAGAUUACGAGGAAGGACUGCUGUAGUGGUGAUUCAAAACCAACUCCCUGGAUACACGAACAGACAUCACAAGCAAACCACCAUAGUUCACAUGAUCAGUCUAUUAACCAACCAAUCAACAUGAAGUGAUGGUGUGGACAAGUUUUCUUGAACAUUCUAGAAUUUGACUUCUGGUCUCCUAUAAAACUGUUCAGUACACAUUUUCACCAGUCAGAUGACACAGAAAAAUGAAAGAAACCUCCAUCACCACAAAUAUAGCACAAUUGUUUCCAGUUAUGCUUGGCAAGCAACAUGUUGCUGUAUCAGUAGCUUGCCAUAAACUCCAAGCAGUAUCUCACUCUCAGUAUGUAAUUAUUGCUGUAAAAGGGCAAUGUAGUUUGUCUUUAUGUGUGAUAAUAAAAUCUUGUUAAAUGUU